UUCUGAUUUGACUUGUGAAUUCUUUGGUUUAUAUUUGCUUAAUAAAGAUUUUUUUGAAUUCAAACUAUUUAUACUUAUAUUCUAUGACACAUACAAAAAUACAGUAGACAUUUUCUGUGCUGAAAGAGCUUAAAAUUAAAUAGUCACAGGAAACUUAGACAAACUAAAGGCCCACCGAGUGUGGAGAUUGAGUAGUUACCAGAAUUUAGAGUAGGAUAUGGGCCGAAGUGGAUGGGAAGGUGUCAACGAGGAGGGGAGUCUUCCUCUUGGCUUGAAGAAAGGUAGGACAAGGAAAUGCAAUGAGGAAAAGGAGAAGCAUUCUGGGAGUGAAUGCAUGUGGUAUACUUGAGUAAGACAGUUUGCCUUAAAUAUAGAAUACCUGCAGUGAAUACAUCUAGGAAGGAAAAUUUGGGCCAGAUUACAUUGGAUCUUGAAUGCCUGGAGAGCAGUUUGGCAAUUGCCUUGUGUGAAGUUAUUGGAGGUUACUGAGAAAAGAAUAAAACAAAAACAUAAAAACAUAGAGUUGGAGAGGAUAUUAGAGGUCAUUGAAUCUUCUCUCCUCAUUUUAUGAAGAGUCUAAAUUACUUUGCCAAUACUACAUAGAAUAUUUGGCAGACCUGCUUUGGAAAGCAGGUUUCCAUAAAGCAAAGACAUAAAAAUUAUAUUAGGAAUAUAAAUCUGGCAGAUAUUCUCUCUUGUAAUGCCCUUUCAACAAUACAAAUAUGUUACCUCAGUGGCAGAAUGCAAUAAGCUAUUAGCACAAUUCAGUUGAUCUGAUUAGCUAGUUAGUCACUUUGUAAGGCAGUUAAAUGAGUGAAUGGGUUGUUGGGGAAGAGUUAAGGCCUCCAAAUAUGAGGUGCUAUCCUGAGAGCUCAGAUAUUCAUGACCAUCUUUGCAAGAAUCAGUACGAAAGCCCGGGACACCCAAACGCAGAGGUGGAGGUGGAACCUUAAAGACAACUUUGUCAAACUGCAUAGUGGGAAGAUGAGUGUGGGCCAUCCAGACUGUUUUAAAGAGGAUACAGUGAUGUUGAUAGGAGGCACACGAUGUGAUUAUGUGACUAUGUUACCACAGAUAGCCUUACGUAGCUUGCUGGAAUUUCUCUCUUCUUGCCGAAGAAAGCAAGUGACUAUGUUGGGGCACCCCUCAUGGCAAGGAACUGUGGGUGCUCACCAGCUAACACCCAGAAAAAGCUGAAGCUUUCAGUCACACAGAACUGAAUUCUUUCAACAACCUGAGUAAGCUUGCAAAUGGAUA
RNAcentral lists this long non-coding RNA (1257 nucleotides) under Pan troglodytes (chimpanzee). RNAcentral's name for it is "long non-coding RNA NONPTRT013304". Lineage: Eukaryota; Metazoa; Chordata; Mammalia; Primates; Hominidae. The record is from RNAcentral.